Molecule: RNase P RNA, 597 nt
Filed under: Piloderma croceum F 1598
Lineage: Eukaryota; Fungi; Basidiomycota; Agaricomycetes; Atheliales; Atheliaceae
Description: Nuclear RNase P
Rfam family: Nuclear RNase P
About the family: Ribonuclease P (RNase P) is a ubiquitous endoribonuclease, found in archaea, bacteria and eukarya as well as chloroplasts and mitochondria. Its best characterised activity is the generation of mature 5'-ends of tRNAs by cleaving the 5'-leader elements of precursor-tRNAs. Cellular RNase Ps are ribonucleoproteins.
Source: Rfam by way of RNAcentral
ACAGCUUGAAAGCUGCGAGGCUCACUACACUCAGGGAUGUUCGCUGCAUCCGUUCUCGUGAGCGGGCUAAGGUCUGAGAUCUGAGUAUUCAAGUCUCCCUAGAUAGACUCUUGCAGGGUCCAGUGUUAAUCAUGCUGAGCAGCACACCAGAAAUGCAGCUGCAGUCUCAACUGAUCCAAAGGUCCUCUUUGGAGGGGAGGGCACGAGAUCGCGCGGCUUUGGGAUAUGCUGUGGGGGCUGGGUGGGCAUCUUCCCUUUCUGGCAUCGGCCAGUGCAUGUAGAUUCAGGCUAUCGCGCGUCCCUGUGCCGUCGCUGGCGCUCUGGAAAUGCGGAACAAAAUGAACACAUUUUGUUGAAAACCACGCGAGGGCCACGGCGCCCUCGCCCAAAGAAACGAUAGGAGAACCAAUCAUUUUUUACGAUGUGAAUCAUAAUUCGCACCGUGUGGUUGACCAGCGCUCUCAUCUCCAGGCCAAGACCUGUAUGAGGCAGUUUAUGUACAUGCAUUCGAUGCUAGGAUGUUCAUCCUUCAGUUCACUUCGCGGCUUGUGCAUUCUUUGAAUCCACAAAACUCGAUUCAGACUACUCUUUGGCUGU